Long non-coding RNA from Cryptomeria japonica (Japanese cedar), 1473 nucleotides. RefSeq lists it as uncharacterized. NCBI's taxonomy places the organism in Eukaryota, Viridiplantae, Streptophyta, Pinopsida, Cupressales, Cupressaceae. The record is from RefSeq and is a predicted model, not a curated record. The transcript is spliced from 2 exons.
UUUCGGCUGGAUGGCUGGCUGGCUGCUGUCCAGUGGGAAUAUAUGGAGAGACGUUAAUAUUUAGAGAUGAAUAUUUUCAUGCAACUUCAGAAGAUGAAGGAUGUUGUGCAGAUUCCAUUUUGAGUCUAUUUUGAGUAGAUUUAAUUCAAAACGUGCCUAGUGGGAAUGGAAUUUGUAUUCAAAGUGCAGAUUCAAUCCAUUUUGAAUCGAUUUGAACACUUUUCCAAACGUUAAAGGAGCGUGUGUAGAUUUAAUUCAAAACGUUCCCCAAGGGCACCCAAAGGAGCGUGUCCAGAUGCAAUUCAGAACGUGCCCUAACGGCACUCAAAGGAGCGUGUCCAGAUUCAAUUCAGAACAUUCCCUAACGGCGCCCAAAUUAUAGUGCAAUGGCCGUUGUAAAAAACAGUGACCGUUGAAAAAAAUCAGGAUUAAAUUUCUUAUAAAUGGGCGGUAUACUUGAGAAGCAGGACAGAUUUCCCGUUCUGUUUUCUUUUUGGUUUGAUAUAUUUUCCAUUGUAUGUUUUUGGCGUGGCCAUGCCUAUUUUUGAAUUUUGCUUUCCUGAAUUUUGGUUUUGAAUUUUUAUAGUUUUUUGGUAUUUCGUGUAUCUUCUUUUUUCUGUGGGUUGUCAGUUUUUAAUGGGCAUGGAGUAGUCAGCAGCAAGAAAUCUACGUUCUGGAGUGGCUGAUUGGAGAUGUGGCCAGAAAAUAGACAGAGCCAGAGGUGAUUGACUUUGCUUGACUAUCUUGGUCACCUUGUUGUCGAGGUUCUAUCAUCCAUGCACGGUCAGAAUUCAUGUUUCUUGUAUAUGGGCUUUCAUGUUCUUAUAAAUGUAUUGGGUUUUUAUAUUGGUCUCUCUAUUUUCUUAAAUCUAUUGGGAUUUCUAUUUUGCAAUGCUCUUUUUACAUGACUUGAGGUAGUUUUUUAUUCUUUUGUGUUUUCAAUAUUGCUCGGUGCUUAAAUCAUUGGUAUGUCAUCAUCAUUUUAAUUGAUUCUUAUACAUUCUCAAAACCCUCAACAUAAUUAUAUUACUCUAUUUCUUUUGUUUUGAAGCAAUAUGAGUUGUACCUUGACUAUACUUCCAUUUUGUGUGUAUGUGGACUUUGUUAUCUCUGUGUAAUAGAGGGCUUGUGUGCACCAAUGGCGUGUCACCCUUUUUAUUUUAUUUUUACAGUUUGCAUGUAUACAACUUCUGAUGGAUUUCUUGUCCCUUGCGUUUUGCACCUAUCUCUUUUUAAACAAAUAGUUUGCAUAACUUAUGUAUGCAUUUUACAUACAUGGUUACCAACAGACAAGAUCUGUAGAAACAAUAUCAUAGAAAAUGAUUGUCUAUUUGAGGAUGGCUUUUUGCAGGUAGACUUCAAAUGACUACCUAUCUUAUUUAUGCAUUUGGCAUGGAUGAAACAUUUGUAAUUUUAACAUCUGAAAAACUGAUUCUGUUUGAGGAUGGCUUUUUUUAAGUAGACUUCAAAUGA